Long non-coding RNA from Caretta caretta (loggerhead turtle), 3825 nucleotides. RefSeq lists it as uncharacterized. The record is from RefSeq and is a predicted model, not a curated record. Lineage: Eukaryota; Metazoa; Chordata; Testudines; Cheloniidae.
GAGGAUGCUGAAUGCUCCGAGGUCAGACCCAGGAAGGUGGAAGCUGUGUGAGCUGUGUGUCCUGAAGACAGGCUGCUCACAGAAAGGCGACUGCCCCAGAGUCCUGACUGGCUUCAUGGGGAGCAGUUCCAGAGCAUCGCCCAGGGACUCCGUGACACUGGGCCAUACGUGGGGGACUAAACACUCCUAGCCCCCCUCCUCCCACAGAGCGGGGCUGGUGCCCGUGGCAUGUUCGAGGGGAGAACUGCCCUUUCUGAUGCCCCAGAACCAGACUGUCCCAUGCAGUAUCAAUCUCCCCCCAUUAAGCUCCCGCUCUCGCGGCUUCUCUCCCUUCUCCAGCCCCCCAACCCAUGUCCUGUACGUCAUUCCUCCUCUCUUCCCUCUGCCCUUCCUCCCCCAUGGCAGCUCCCAUCUGCCCCCACAUGGGCUUCAGUUCCCCCCACAACCGCCCCCUCUAGGCCUGGGCUCAGCAAUGCUAGAGUGAUGCUUCCACUGGUGUGUCAUGGCUGAACUUCAGCAUGACGCACCCCACUGAGGGUCAUGGGGGAGCUCACCCUUGGCCGAGCUCUUGUUUCAGGCUCUCUGCAGACACAGGCAGAUGUCAUGAUCACCUUUGAAGGGUUUCUUCGCCACCAGAAGAGGCUAGAUGCUCAGAUUCUGAAUAUGGGCCCGGGCCACAUCACGGCACCAAGCGGGUGAGAUGCAGCCUGUGGGCGGCUUGACUGGCAGCCCCGCAGGGGAUGAUGCUGGAGCUGCCUUCUGUCCGAGGAGCUGUUACACCUGGGUCCUCACCACUCCUGGGCCCUGAAGAUCCUGUCGCGCUUCCUGCAAGGAAGGUUCAUCGUGUGGGAGCCACAGCCCAGCCCAGCCCAGUGGCAUCAGCUCCUCUCGCACCAAGGCUGGAGCUGUCUCUAUGGGCUUCCCUGCCUGAGGAAUCUGGUGCUGUGCCCUGGGUGGAGAAUGGCUGCUCUGCCCCACCCCAGGAGUAGCUGCAUCUCCGGAGUCAGUAAAGCACGCGGGGCUCCCGCCGCAUGGCAGGUGCUCGGGCAAUAGACGGGCUGCUUAUUACUGGGCAUGUGAGAAGCAGACUCGUGAGCCCCUGGUUCGGAGAUGAGCCUGAGCUGGCUCUGAGUGGGUCCCUCUGGCCUGGCCGCUCCACGGGGCUGGGGCUGUUGCUCCUCGCUGUGUGGCUGCGGGGUCAGACUUGGCUCAGGGCAGGCAGUGCAAGGGCCCAGGGGUCAUGCUCUGGGAUGACUCAGAAUUUACCUCAGUGGGUCCCUCUGCCCGGAGGCCGAGCAGUUGUUGCAUGGCACCAGCCUGUCACAGGCGGCAGAGCAAACACAUCAGCGGGCUGGGGGAGCGGGGUGGGGGCAUCCCCCCGGCACCUGCCGCUGCAAGGCAGCGGUGUGAUGGCUGGGCACUGUUGGCAUGUUCUGCUGCCAGGCAGGCGAGUUAUACCAGCCCCAGGCUGGCACAUGCAGCAGAUGGGCAGGUGCGCUCUACUAAAGCCAGCCAGGCAGUUGCAUUACACUCCGGUGAGCCAGGCACCGCAGGCUGGGGUUGGCGCUAACCGAGCACGGUCUGGGCCCCAUUCCACGUCAGCUUCAGCCUCUGCAGCGAGGCUCUAGCCACCUGGCGCCCGGCUGCAGCCCUAGUGGCUCACCCCGUCUCCGGCCUCCUGCCCUGGCACUUUCAUUUUCCCCCUGCCUGCUGGGGCUGGAGGGGCCGGAGUCACCUGGGUCCUUGAAGCAGCGAGGUGUGGGAGGAAGGUAUGGGAAGGCGGGGGCAGGGAGGGAUAUUCACCAGUCCCUCAUUCACCUCCGAGCACUGAAAGUCCUGCCUGGUGCCUUGUUAAUGCCCGGCCCGAUCAUGGCCCUGGCCCGGCAGCCAGGGCUCUCCAGGGAUCACAGAGUGGCAGGACCGGGUGAAGCUGUGCUAAUCCUGCUGCUGGGCUCGGGCGUGGGGUGGGCUCAGCCAGGACUCCCCGUGCAGACCCGCAAAGAGCCAGAGUGUCCCAGGCCCACUUGUUUGUCUCUUCCACGAGAGGCUGAUGCAGGUGAGCAGCCGGGCAGCUAGGGCUGCGUGAUUCAGCCCAUGGGAGGGGGAAAUGGAAACACAAACAACUGCUCCAGGAUGGCCGGGCACUCGACCCGCUGGGCAGAGCUGAGCCAGGAUGCUUCAGAGCCUCCAAGGGCAGCAACAAAGGCUAGGGAUUGGCAGGCCACAGGGGCCAGUCUGAGCUCCUGUGUCCCCCAGGCCAGCGAGUCCCCGCCAGUUCCAGGGGUCAGGUGUGGGCUAGGUUCCCAUAAACAGAGACCAGGGUCUGGGGGGUUGGCAGAAGAGGCUGUUCCAGUGCUCUCAGCCCCACCCCCAGCAGGGGCAGGACCUGGCCCAUGGGCGCUCUCCUGCUUUUCUUAUUGUUUGUCUGUUCUGGGGCCCGAGCCUGGGCCCAGUGCGUUUCUCCCGCAGAACAGCCUUCUCGGGGGUGGUGAGUGCCUAUACCUGCCUCCGCCCCUGCUCCCGCUGCACCCUGGAGCCAUGGCCAUUAAAAGGCUCCGGCUCCCUAGAGCAAUACAGAUGUAACCAGCCCCCUCCCCUUGGGACUGGAACGUUGGGACUGAAGCCACGAGAAAGUGGUCUCAGUCCAUUGGCAGAGCUGUGGGGAAGGGGGAGCCCAGGGCUGGGAUAACAGGGGUCUGCGGGUCGGGAUUGAGGGGCACUAGCAGAGCCGGGGAUGGGUAGCUUGCACAGUCCCUGCCCAGCUUUGCCUGGCACCUGCUUGCGCUGUGGGCCCCUCACUUUCACAAGCACCAAAUCCAGGCGUUGCAAUAAACCAAGUCACGCGGGGCGUGGAGAAGAGGGCAGACCCCCAGCCCCACCUGGGCUCAGGGCUGUGCCCCUCUGCUGCCAGUCUGGCAGGGCAAUGGCUACCUGCACCUACCUGGGCAAGGCGUGUCGCGGUGACACUGUCCCCAGAGCCCAGGCUUCCCUGCUCUGGCCUGGGAGGCUGAUUUCCCCGUGCCAGGGGACUGGGCGCUCACGUUUUCUGCCUGCUCAGUGAAGGAGCCUGUGACCAGCUCCUAUUCAGCCUGAGCGUGGAAGAUUAACUGCAAGACCUCCCCAUCGCUGUCCUCCCAAAGGCCAACACCACUUGCCUGGCGAACAAUACCUGUCCACCCACCACCCACUGAGAAAGAGGAGGAAGCUUGGCGGGGUGAUGGCUCCCUCUUUUCUGACGUACCCACUGGGAACGCGGGGUUGUAUAUAAGGAGGGGACGCGCUGCCUGCCUGACACUUCACUCAGCAGCCAGGACAGCAAGCGCCAGGAAAGAGCAGAGCCAGCAAAGGCUAUUUCCAGAGAUGAACCUGAUGCUUCAAGUCACCUUCCUUGGUCUCCUGUCCCUGCUGGUGCAGGGCUGGGUUCAGAACCGAUCCCUGCAGAGUGAGAGAUGGAGCAUGCUGGACCUGCCGCAGAACAGAGAACUGUUCCUAAGUGCCCUGCAGAGCUACUUCAGCAGCAGAGGGAUCCACAUAGAGAAAACUGGGCCGGCCUUUGUGCUGUCCACGAGGAAUCGCAACCUGGGGGACCAGGGAGAACGAGAGCUGGUGGCCCCCGAGAGGGGGGUAGAUGACUAGGAAGAGCUGAUGGCAGGUGGAGUCUUGGCAAUACGAUCUCGUCGGCCUCUGAGUACGUCACAGUGAUUCACUGACUCUCUCCUGCCGCUGCGCUGCUGUGCACACAAGCCGCACACGCACACGAGUGACCUUUUUACAUUUGCUGGGCUCUGCCUGCAAUGCUGCGCCGUAGGUUUUGGAUUCAAUAAA